Molecule: ribosomal RNA, 274 nt
Filed under: uncultured bacterium
Lineage: Bacteria
Description: partial 16S ribosomal RNA
Rfam family: Archaeal small subunit ribosomal RNA
Source: RNAcentral
AAACCAGCACCUCAAGUGGUCAGGAGGUUUAUUGGGCCUAAAGCAUCCGUAGCCUGAUCUAUAAGUUUCCGGUUAAAUCCAUUAGCUCAACUGAUGGGCCGCCGGAAAAACUGCAAAGCUAGGGAGUGGGAGAGGUAGACGGUACUCGGUAGGAAGGGGUAAAAUCCUUUGAUCUAUUGAUGACCACCAGUGGCGAAGGCGGUCUACCAGAACACGUUCGACGGUGAGGGAUGAAGGCUGGGGGAGCAAACAGGAUUAGAAACCCCAGUAGUCC